RNAcentral lists this ribosomal RNA (923 nucleotides) under uncultured bacterium. Its description in RNAcentral is "bacterial SSU rRNA". It matches the Rfam family "Bacterial small subunit ribosomal RNA", at positions 8 to 916 of the family's 1533-position model. The record is from RNAcentral.
AGAGUUUGAUCCUGGCUCAGGACGAACGCUGGCGGCGUGCCUAAUACAUGCAAGUAGAACGCUGAAGAAAGGAGCUUGCUUCUUUUGGAUGAGUUGCGAACGGGUGAGUAACGCGUAGGUAACCUGCCUUGUAGCGGGGGAUAACUAUUGGAAACGAUAGCUAAUACCGCAUAACAGCUUUUGACACAUGUUAGAAGCUUGAAAGAUGCAAUUGCAUCACUACGAGAUGGACCUGCGUUGUAUUAGCUAGUAGGUAGGGUAACGGCCUACCUAGGCGACGAUACAUAGCCGACCUGAGAGGGUGAUCGGCCACACUGGGACUGAGACACGGCCCAGACUCCUACGGGAGGCAGCAGUAGGGAAUCUUCGGCAAUGGGGGCAACCCUGACCGAGCAACGCCGCGUGAGUGAAGAAGGUUUUCGGAUCGUAAAGCUCUGUUGUAAGAGAAGAACGUGUGUGAGAGUGGAAAGUUCACACAGUGACGGUAACUUACCAGAAAGGGACGGCUAACUACGUGCCAGCAGCCGCGGUAAUACGUAGGUCCCGAGCGUUGUCCGGAUUUAUUGGGCGUAAAGCGAGCGCAGGCGGUUUAAUAAGUCUGAAGUUAAAGGCAGUGGCUUAACCAUUGUUCGCUUUGGAAACUGUUAAACUUGAGUGCAGAAGGGGAGAGUGGAAUUCCAUGUGUAGCGGUGAAAUGCGUAGAUAUAUGGAGGAACACCGGUGGCGAAAGCGGCUCUCUGGUCUGUAACUGACGCUGGGGCUCGAAAGCGUGGGGAGCAAACAGGAUUAGAUACCCUGUAGUCCACGCCGUAAACGAUGAGUGCUAGGUGUUAGGCCCUUUCCGGGCUUAGUGCCGCAGCUAACGCAUUAAGCACUCCGCCUGGGGAGUACGACCGCAAGGUGAAACUCAAAUGAAUUGACGG